RNAcentral lists this ribosomal RNA (373 nucleotides) under uncultured bacterium. RNAcentral's name for it is "bacterial SSU rRNA". It matches the Rfam family "Bacterial small subunit ribosomal RNA", at positions 524 to 898 of the family's 1533-position model. The record is from RNAcentral.
UACGGAGGGUGCGAGCGUUGUCCGGAUUUAUUGGGUUUAAAGGGUGCGUAGGUGGCUUUAUAAGUCAGUGGUGAAAUACAGCCGCUUAACGGUUGAGGUGCCAUUGAUACUGUAGAGCUUGAAACAAUUGGAGGCUGCCGGAAUGGAUGGUGUAGCGGUGAAAUGCAUAGAUAUCAUCCAGAACACCGAUUGCGAAGGCAGGUGGCUACGUUUGAUUUGACACUGAGGCACGAAAGCAUGGGGAGCAAACAGGAUUAGAUACCCUGGUAGUCCAUGCUGUAAACGAUGAGGACUCGCUGUUGGGCUGUCACGGUCCAGCGGCUUAGGGAAACCGUUAAGUCCUCCACCUGGGGAGUACGCCGGCAACGGUGAA